GACGAACGCUGGCGGCGUGCUUAACACAUGCAAGUCGAACGGAAAGGCCUCUUUCGGGGGGUACUCGAGUGGCGAACGGGUGAGUAACACGUGAGUAACCUGCCCUUGACUUUGGGAUAACUUCAGGAAACGGGGGCUAAUACCGGAUAGGAGCUCCUGCUGCAUGGUGGGGGUUGGAAAGUUUCGGCGGUUGGGGAUGGACUCGCGGCUUAUCAGCUUGUUGGUGGGGUAGUGGCUUACCAAGGCUUUGACGGGUAGCCGGCCUGAGAGGGUGACCGGCCAAAUUGGGACUGAGAUACGGCCCAGACUCCUACGGGAGGCAGCAGUGGGGAAUAUUGCACAAUGGGUGGAAGCCUGAUGCAGCAACGCCGUGUGCGGGAUGACGGCCUUCGGGUUGUAAACCGCUUUCGCUCAUGACGAAGCUUUGUGUGACGGUAGUGGGUAAAGAAGCACCGGCUAACUACGUG
This 467-nucleotide ribosomal RNA is filed under the name uncultured bacterium. RNAcentral describes it as "partial 16S ribosomal RNA". It matches the Rfam family "Bacterial small subunit ribosomal RNA", at positions 28 to 507 of the family's 1533-position model. The record is from RNAcentral.